GGGGAUUUAGCUCAGUGGUAGAGCGUUUGCCUAGCAAGCGCAAGGCCCUGGGUUCGGUCCCCAGCUUCA
Molecule: transfer RNA, 69 nt
Filed under: Rattus norvegicus (Norway rat)
Lineage: Eukaryota; Metazoa; Chordata; Mammalia; Rodentia; Muridae
Rfam family: tRNA
About the family: Transfer RNA (tRNA) molecules are approximately 80 nucleotides in length. Their secondary structure includes four short double-helical elements and three loops (D, anti-codon, and T loops).
Source: Rfam by way of RNAcentral